AGGACAGGGGGGCGGUCGCGCCCGGGAGCCGAACCUCCCGGGUGAGGAAAGUCCGGGCACCAUAGGGCAGGGUGCCAGCUAACGGCUGGGCGGGGUAACCCGACGGAAAGUGCCACAGAGAAAAGACCGCCAGCGGCCAGGCCAAGGCCUGGUGCGGGCAAGGGUGAAACGGUGGGGUAAGAGCCCACCGCGCCUCCUGGAAACAGGGGCGGCACGGCAAAUGUCAUCCGUCAUGCUUUCAGGACAGUAUCAGUCACGCUAUUAGGUCAAUGGACUGAGUAUCGUCAUGGUUUUAGGACAGCAAGUUGAGCCGUUAUGCAAGCAAAGGUUGCUUAAGCCACGCUCAUAGGUUGCUUAAGCCACGCUAAUCCUCCACACCUCCAU
Molecule: RNase P RNA, 384 nt
Filed under: Thermus antranikianii
Lineage: Bacteria; Thermotogati; Deinococcota; Deinococci; Thermales; Thermaceae
Description: RNase P RNA component class A
Rfam family: Bacterial RNase P class A
About the family: Ribonuclease P (RNase P) is a ubiquitous endoribonuclease, found in archaea, bacteria and eukarya as well as chloroplasts and mitochondria.
Source: RNAcentral